This is a non-coding RNA of Oryza sativa Japonica Group (Japanese rice), 3353 nucleotides long. Lineage: Eukaryota; Viridiplantae; Streptophyta; Magnoliopsida; Poales; Poaceae. The record is from RefSeq and is a predicted model, not a curated record.
CCGUCUCGCCCACCCACGCGCGGCUUGCGCAAUCGCGUGCGCCCAUGCCCUCCCCCUCUCCUCGCACACGUCGCCGCCGCCGUAAUCGCAUCUGCCCAUGGCGACCCCGGUCUCCUCCGCGAUGGAACUUCCCACUCGGAGGAGAGGGGUGCAAGCCGCUGCCGCCUCUUCUCCUCUUUUAUCUCUGCCUCGCCACCGCCUCCCCGCUUCUUCCCUCACGUGUGCUGCCGCCGUAAUCUCGCCCUCCUAACCGUCAACGGAGCGCUUCCGCCACUGCCGCUCUUUCCAAUCAAGCCACCGCAUCUGCAAUCGAAGAUCCAUCCGCCUGGAGAAGAAGAACAUGAGCCGCCACCAUCCUCAUCUGCCCGUGAGGACGGUUGCAUCUUGGUGAGGACGGGGGCAAGGCACUGGCACGCGAAUCCCCCAACGACGCCCUCCACCUUUUUUUUUCCUCUGUGGCAGUGCGCUCCCUCCCCCUCGCAUCAAACAUUUUCUUUUUCUGCAGCAAAGUACUCCCUCCGUCCAAAAAAAAAAAAGGCAAACCCUGGGUUUCCGUGUCCAAUUUUGACUGUUCGUCUUAUAUGAAAUUUUUUUAUAAUUCGUAUUUUUAUUGUUGUUAGAUGAUAAAACAUGAUUAAUAUUUUAUGUGUGACUUGUCUUUUUAAUUUUUUUCAUAAUUUUUUCAAAUAAGACGAACGGUCAAACGUUAGACACGGAAACCAGGGGUUGUCUUUUUUUUGGGACGGAGGGAGUAUGCAUGCUAGAUCUCAUCACAUUUACAUCAGGUAAUUUUCCCCAUGUAAUUUUCUCUCUCAUCUGGCUGGAUUUAAUUUUUUGGUUCGAUCCCCGUAUUUUUCUUGCAGCAGUGGAAGCAAGCUAUCUAAUGGCAAUAGAUCUGCUGGUACUCCACUACAUAGGUUGCUUGGAUCUUAUUUCUACCAGAUGCAGUUGGAGUUAGCACAUAUAUCUUAAUCCACUCAGGAAACUUCUCCCAACCCUGGUGAGUUUUCCCCAAAUCAACCCCUUAAAUUUUGAAGUCUGUAGUUGAGUGCAUAUAUCCAUUUACAUUUUGCUGGCUGGAAUGCCCUCUUGAUGUUUUGAUAUGGGGAAAAAGUUUACAGAUGGAGAAGAAUGAGCUACUUAGGAGCCCAUACGAAUGUGCUGUUCUCCAAGAGGCAUGUGUGGCGCAAAUGCAGCCUUCGACAGAGUGCCCACAGCAAGCUCUGUUAAACUGCUUUGCUUGGCCAUCCAUCCGAUUGCUACCAGCCCAUGUAUACGAUGGAGUAUUUCACAUGAUAACAAGCUAUAUUAUUAUCUCAGUACAUCUUAUUUCACUCCACAUGAUUAUUAAAUGUUUAGCUUCUAUAUAUUCAAGGUCGCUUGCCUACAUCAAACCUUUGAUUCAAGGUAAAACCCUUUAAGUUCUCCAAAUAUUGUUUAUUGAGUCUAAUGUGAAUUAUUUUCUUUACUAAUUUGCCUCUGCAGCCAUGUUGUCAGAGAUGAGCAUACCUUAGGUAGCUAAAUCCUACUGUUCUCGAGAGCAAUUCUUACCUGAAUUAGCUCCGCAAACCAAUUGUUCUUGCUGCUAUAAAAUUUGCUCCAUGUUAGAGCUUCCUUUUGUUUUUGCAACCCAAUUAUUCUCGCUGCUAGAAGAUUUGCUCCACGUUAGAGCAAACCAAUUGUUUUUGCAUGCCCAAAUUACAAGUGUGAAGCAAGUUGUGUUCAGUUUUUUCUUCUUACUCAUGCGGGAAAGUCUAGAUGUGCUUCUUCGUUCUCUGCUCGGUAGUCUAUAUAGAUCAGUUUUACCUGUUUACACAUGAGUACUUGCAGUAUUAAGUUGAAUCGUUCACAUGGACUCCCCAUGUUCUCCUCUUUAUAUGGCGCACAUAUUCUGUCACCGGAAUAACCUAUUAUCUAAACAUACAAGUUAUGUAUUCAACUGUAAUAGCAAUUAUUCAGCUUUUUACUUUUUCAGGAGGAGUUUACCGAAAUUGUUCUUUGAUAAUAUAACAUGCCAGGACUAUUUUGCAAUUUCCACAGAGAGGAUUACACAUUUAGUACCAUGAAUCUUGAUCUAGAUAUUAUGAAUAAGCCAAAAGUUCUCUAGACCUCAUGGGUCAUGGCCUCCUAGGUCGUGCUUUCUAUAAAUUAAAACUUAUACGUAAGUUUACAAACCAUUAAGAAAUUGUUAUUCUCAAAUUAUGACGGGAUUGUCAUAUUGUUCAGUUCAUGAACUGUAUAAUACAUCUUAUUGCAUAGAAAGUCUAACUUUAAUCUUUACAUCCAACUCUAGGAGAUAAAUUUAUCAUGUUUGUGAAAAUAUGUUAAGGUCCAGCAAUAUAUCUAAUUCAUCAUUAGUAAAACUUAAAACAUAUUAUCUAAUUAAGAGUUAUUGGAUUAGGUUUUUCUUGGGUUGCAUUGCAAGACCUAUUAGCUGAGGAAUAGUUUCAUUUUCAGUAUUGGAUCAUCAAUAGUUUGGUAAUAUUUGAUUAGUAGAAUGUGGUUUUUUGCUGCCCCUUGAAUGCUACUAGAAUAAUUAGUACACUUUUAUUCAACUCAUUCUUUGUGGUUUACAUGAGAACUUUUUAGUUAACUCAUUUUGCUUUAUACUAAUAUAGAUCCUAUCAAAUCUUUAUUAUGACAUCUCAUGUGGUCAUUUUGAACUUCUAUUACGGACAUUAUCUUCGUUGACCAAUUUUCAUGGAUUGCUUCCUUAUGUUGUAGGUGGUGUUCAAAAUCAGCAGAUGGUUCAUCUCUACUACUUGCAGUCUGAUUCUACAGUAUUUCCCUAACCAUAGCUACCAAUAAUUUUUAUGAAAAAAAUCCCAUUUCAAGUAUACCUCAAAUCUCAAAUUGCAUAUGACCAGUGUUAAUGAUUUGUUAUAUUGACUCUUAAGUCGAUUUUGACACAUCUUGAAUUUAAUUAAUCCAAACAAAUAGAUUUAUCUUUACAUUUAUGCUUUGUCAGGAAUUGGUGGGCAUCUGGACUCCAGAUAUUACACUGAUAUCUCCGUGUUCUUCCGCGAAGCAAGAGAAAUCUGCAGUAUAUCUGAAUUGUUAAGCUAUGCAAAAUUAUUUAUAUGUACAUGAAAGAUGCAAUUUUCAAUUUAUUUAGUUUUUAUAUAACGUGGUCAGUUUAUAGCACAGUUCUUAGAUUGAUGCAUUAUCUUUUAGGUUGCAGUAACAUAUAAAGGCCUGCUUGGCCAUGAAUCAUGUAUGCAUUUUGUACAUUUGCAGUGAGAUUUUGACUAUGCACUGCUCUUUACACAUAAAAGUGCAAGAGAAUACUUAUUAUGCAUUGUUAUAGUUAAUACAAUCAUCAUCGCACGCAGCGUAGCGCGUGUUUCUUUCUA